GGGGAUGACGGGAUUUGACUGGACUUUGAAUUUAGGACUGCAAGCCGAGAAUGAUUACACUCUCGUAAAUAUGUAAUCUACAUUCAUAUCUGCCGACUCUAAAGUCGCAGCUCCAGUUUACGCAUACGCGUAAAUACAAACGGAUUUAUCCGAUUGGGGACUUAAUCUAACUAUCCUAACUGGUUGGGUCUAAGUUUAUAUCGUUAGGUUGAUCGAAUUACGUAGGAGGAUUUAUCAUAAAAAACCUUAUCUUACUGACUGUCACUAACGCUUCUUCCGGAUGAGGCGGACAGUCAAACAAAAAUCCGGGCAAGCUUGUAGACGUCUUAGAGGAUAAUUUCAGGACGGGGGUUCGACUCCCCCCAUCUCCACCA
This 374-nucleotide transfer-messenger RNA is filed under the name Patescibacteria group. RNAcentral describes it as "PEYW01 sp002774225 X1 Standard tmRNA". It matches the Rfam family "transfer-messenger RNA". From Rfam's summary of the family: Bacterial tmRNA, also known as 10Sa RNA or SsrA, is named for its dual tRNA and mRNA-like properties. Its role is to liberate the mRNA from a stalled ribosome. RNAcentral also lists the same sequence under 1 other name. The record is from RNAcentral.